Long non-coding RNA from Nematostella vectensis (starlet sea anemone), 1531 nucleotides. RefSeq lists it as uncharacterized. The record is from RefSeq and is a predicted model, not a curated record. NCBI's taxonomy places the organism in Eukaryota, Metazoa, Cnidaria, Anthozoa, Actiniaria, Edwardsiidae. The transcript has 3 exons.
ACAGUGAGAAAGGAGUUCCUUACUAUGAGAACAUGGCGAACAGUGAGACAGGAGUUCCUUACUAUGAGAACAUGGCGAACAGUGAGACAGGAGUUCCUUACUAUGAGAACAUGGCGAACAGUGUGUACCCCAUAGCAGAGUCGUACUCGUGGUCAUGUCCAGGAAUUACAUGAAGAGCAAGUAUUGUAAAGAGGAGCUAGACUACGCCAUUCACAGAUCGGUGGAAGAGCAAACCGCCAGUCCCAUCAUCAUCAUCAGGAUCGAUGGCAUCAAAAAGACGGCUCUACCCCGCGCCAUCCGACACAAAAACUAUCUUGACUACUCAAAGUACACAACAUAACCUGUCUUAACUACUCCAGCAACGUUGAGCGGGCGACUUGGGGGAGACGACUGCUGGAACACAUCCAGAUCCGAGGUGACGAUGAUAACCUGAAUGAACAAGAUAAGAACCAAGAAUUAGUGACAGCACACGACGACGCUCAGGAAAAUGUCGUGUGAAGCUCAGGAUACCGGAUAGUAUACAGCACGGCAGGGUGAUCGAAUAAGAGUUAUGUGGUCAUUUUAAUUUUAAUCAAAAUAGGAUCAUCUCUGGCUGCUGCGUGUUAUCAUCAAGCACUCGACCUUCGCUAGUUAGCCGGAUAACCAACUAUCCUCAUUUUUAUUUAAAGAAAGAAUUUCAUAAAUCAUACUCGUUCUGUUACCCCCCAUCCCGCUACUUAUGUUUGGGUCUAACAACACAGGAAACCCAUCGUUCCUUCAAUAGUAUGUGUUGCACGAGACACAUGGGAUCAUUGCAAGAUCCUUGUUUUUUCUCUUUUUACAAGACGAUAUGCGAGAUAUGGCAUCGACAUUAAAAUAUUAAAACGACAUUAAAAGCCGUGCGAUUAGAAAAAUUAAGCUUUGGUUUUUUUUUAGUUUUUUUCAAAUUGGGUUGCCUGUGUUUUAAAGAUGGCGUCCGAACUGUGUACCACUGGAUCUCUUAUUACAUAUUCAUAAUUGUUUUGUUUAGUUUAGUGUAAUAAUUUCAAAAGGCUACUAUAAUGUUUUUAUAGAGAUCCUGUGAAUUAGAAAUUCCCCAAAAUGGUGGAUGGAACUGGUCGAAAGAAAAUGCACUUCUACAAGGUCGGUAUGAGCAGUGUUUGUUUGGCUAAAUUCUGAUAAUGAACCAUAACUUUCCCUCGUAUUUGGCUCAAAUGUGCCUUUUUUGCGUCACGCUCUCUGUAUUUGAUUAAAAAAGUUAUUAGUCAAGUUAUAAAAAAAGUCGGGUAAGUAGUUCAGAUUAUUACCCUACGUAACUUGACCGGGUUUCCUAAUCAAAUACGGAGAGCGCGUCGCAAAAAAUGCACAUUUGAGCCAAAUAAGAGGGUAAUUCAUUGUUUAUUAUCAGAAUUUAGCCAAACAAACACUGUUCCUACCGCGCUUGCUUCUAUGAUCACGAAAAAGUAGUACUUGUUCUUAAUAAGAAAAGCAAACAAAACAUUGCACAUGCCUUUUUCCAUUCCAUUUUUGUAAAUAAAAUGUACUUUCUCUU